This 509-nucleotide long non-coding RNA is filed under the name Salvia miltiorrhiza (redroot sage). Its description in RNAcentral is "long non-coding RNA (SMIL_LNC007850)". The record is from RNAcentral. Lineage: Eukaryota; Viridiplantae; Streptophyta; Magnoliopsida; Lamiales; Lamiaceae.
UUCUGUUCCGAUCUGUACUUCAGAUUUUUUCUGAUGCAUUACAUAUGGAAAAUAUUACCAAAAACACAAACCCCCUUCGGAAAUUCACCAAACAAUUCUUUCCAAUUUCGAAACUUUCUUCUCCCCCUCUCUCUCUCUCUCUCUACAGGUGUCGUCCUUACNUCCUCUCUCUCUCUCUACAGGUGUGCCUUCAAAUUCAGCAAUUCCGUUUCACGAAAAUAAAAAAAAAGUAUGCUACUUUGUGUAUAUCUAUCUACGUAUGGAAAUGAGUGUGUGUGUUUGUGUGUGAAUUGAAUUGAAUUGAAACGAAGAAGAAGAAGAAGAAGAAGAAGAAGAAGGAGCGGAGAGUGCGAGGAGUUAAUGGUGAGAUGAAUUUGAAAGCAGCCGCAAAAAGGAAAAGCCCUAAUUUCCUUUUUUUAUAAAUGGCUAUUAUUUUUAUUUUUAUUACUGGACUCACCCCUUUUCUUUUUCCUUUUUUGGAUAAAUCAUCAACUUUUUUUUGUUUGGUU